RNAcentral lists this ribosomal RNA (459 nucleotides) under uncultured bacterium. Its description in RNAcentral is "SSU rRNA". It matches the Rfam family "Bacterial small subunit ribosomal RNA", at positions 26 to 518 of the family's 1533-position model. The record is from RNAcentral.
AGAACGAACGCUGGCGGCAGGCUUAACACAUGCAAGUCGAGCGAGGACUUCGGUCCUAGCGGCGGACGGGUUAGUAACGCGUGGGAACGUGCCCCUUUCUUCGGAAUAGCCUCGGGAAACUGGGAGUAAUGCCGGAUACGCCGGGUCCUAGAGAUACGGUCCGGGAAAGAUUUAUCGGAGAGGGAUCGGCCCGCGUUGGAUUAGGUAGUUGGUGGGGUAAUGGCCUACCAAGCCGACGAUCCAUAGCUGGUUUGAGAGGAUGAUCAGCAACACUGGGACUGAGACACGGCCCAGACUCCUACGGGAGGCAGCAGUGGGGAAUCUUGGACAAUGGGGGCAACCCUGAUCCAGCCAUGCCGCGUGAGCGAUGAAGGCCUUAGGGUUGUAAAGCUCUUUCACCCGUGAAGAUAAUGACGGUAGCGGGAGAAGAAGCCCGGCUAACUCCGUGCCAGCAGCCGC